GAUGAACGCUGGCGGCGUGCCUAAUACAUGCAAGUCGAGCGAACGGACGAUACUCUUGCUUCUUUCUUGUUUGCGGCACACGGGUGUGUAACACGUGUAUAACCUCCCUAUCAUUCUGAUAUAACUUCGAGACACCGGAUCUUAUACCAGAUAAUAUUUUGAACCACGUUGUUCGAUGGUAAAAUUCGGUCUUUCUGUCUCUUAUAGAUGCAUCCGCGCUUCAUUAGCUAGUUGUUGAGGUAACGGCUUUUCAAGGCAACGAUGCAUAGCCGAAGUGAGAGGGUGAUCGGCGACACUGGAGCUGAGCCACGGACCAGACUCCUACGGGAGGCAGCAGUAGGGAAUGUUACGCAAAGGGCGAAAGCCUGACGGAGCAACGCCGAGUGAGUGACGACAGUGUUCGGAUCGUAAAACUCUGUUAUUAGGGAAAAACAGCUGUCGAAGUAAACGUGCACAUCUUGACGGUACCUAAUAAGAAAGCAACGGCUAACUACGUG
This 497-nucleotide ribosomal RNA is filed under the name uncultured bacterium. Its description in RNAcentral is "partial 16S ribosomal RNA". It matches the Rfam family "Bacterial small subunit ribosomal RNA", at positions 28 to 507 of the family's 1533-position model. The record is from RNAcentral.